RNAcentral lists this ribosomal RNA (516 nucleotides) under Triticum aestivum (bread wheat). RNAcentral's name for it is "partial small subunit ribosomal RNA". Lineage: Eukaryota; Viridiplantae; Streptophyta; Magnoliopsida; Poales; Poaceae. The record is from RNAcentral.
AUGGCCCCUGUCUCCGCCGUUGGCAUCAAGCGCUCCGCCCCGUGCGACUACGACGAGCAGCCUGGCGUUCAGUGCAAGGGGGUGUCGUCGCACCAAGCACACCAGAGUACUUUCAAGGGCAAGCAAGUAGCCGACCCUGAAGACCACGGUGGUGAUGAAGCUAACGAGCGGAAGCGGCGCCGGCGUCUUGCCAUCGACAUCAAUGAGGUGCCCCACAACAAAGAUGAGGACCUCAACAACCCUCUUCAUGUCGGGGCCCCGGCUGCAGGUGGUAGGUGCUCCCAGCUGCCACCCUGGCUGCUCUCACUCGUGAAAAAGAAGCAAGCGCAUGACAACGAGAUACUAGAGCUUGCAGACCAGCGCUUGCACUCGGCCACGAAGGACCUAGUGGAGGAAAUGGAGUCGAAGAAGACGCAGAUGGAGAAUGAGAAGAUGCGGCUGGAGAACUAUCGACUCCUAUUGCAGGUCAAGCUCAAUGAGUUGGAGCUCAAGAUUUCCAGGUCGACAAGGAUCUAG